AUGGAUGGGAGUUGUAGUUCUCGAAUCUAGUUUGGACUACGGGAGUUCAGUGAAAGUGUAGAAAAUGCUUUUCGCCACUUCGUUUUGUAGGCUGGAGCAGAAAUCUCAUGUGUUGCAUUUCUUCCACGAAAAGUAUAUCGCGGGAAAGUUGCAAUCCUUAAGGCGUUUCCCUUCUCAUCCAAAAGUUUCUUCAGAACUUUGGAAAAAUCCCUUUUUGCCAAGCAGUGAUCUCUGAAAGCCUUUAAAGCAUAACUUCCUUAGCUUUUUGCUACUUCAGUUUCCUUUAUCGUGUUUUCCGGGCCGCACCGAAUUGCUUGCAGUUGUGCAGCCUUGGAAAUUGAAGGAAUGGGUCAGCCAGUCAAUCUAAAGAAGUGAGAAAAUGAUUCCAUUCAGAAGUAUGACCUCUUGUGGUCAGAAAGAAUCCUUUGACACGAUUGAAGAGCGGUUUAAGAGAGAGGUGUUUGCUUAGCCUUUGUGAUCCAUGCUGAUUUCUUCAAUAUCGACUCCUGACAACAGGCAAAUCCCUGAAGCUUUCUUGGCAAGAUUUUGGACGUGGUGUGCCCUUGUCUUCUUCCUAGGAAUGAAAGAGAACAACUGGCCCAAGAGCACUUCAGUUGGCUUUGUGUCUAAGGACACAUCAUCUCCAAGCUUCUAACCUGGUGCCUUAACCGUGACAUCAAACUGGCGCUCCCGUUAGGAAU
Molecule: long non-coding RNA, 701 nt
Organism: Thamnophis elegans (Western terrestrial garter snake)
Lineage: Eukaryota; Metazoa; Chordata; Lepidosauria; Squamata; Natricidae
Exons: 3
Source: RefSeq, a predicted model, not a curated record